GCUCUAAGUAAGUGCCUGAUAGUGCCUACAAAGGAGAAGAAAUGAUCCAAUUCUCAAGGAGCUUAUGGAGGAUAUCUGGAAGCAUUCAACUUCACUGAACAAGCAUCAAAGUGAAUUUGCUCUACGGUGAACUGAAAUGAGGAAAACAUAAACAGAGGUAACAGAAGCUACAUUUUAAAGGAGCAGUAAAGGAAAACCACAAUCAAUGUGGCAGAGAGUGGAUAACUAGGAGAUAGCAGAGGAGGACACAGACCCAUGAGGCUGGAGUACAGUUGUAAAAUGAAUGAAAUCAGAAUUUUUUCCACUCACUUGGAACAAGAUCCAGUUCUUCCCACUGAGGAGCCAAAUGACCAUUCCUUGAGCUGCAUCUCAGGAAGCUGAACUUGGAUACUGUGCAGAUUUCAGAGAGUGUCAUUCUUCGUGAUCAUCUAUGUGAAAGUUCUUGUUCUCAAAACAGAGAAAUCAAACGACCAAGUCUUCCAGGGAAAUCACUCAACUGAACAUGCUUUUCACACUUUAAAACAGAAUUCCUAAGAAACUUGGAACUCAUGGCCACAGGCCACACAACAGAUCCAAAGCACUGUGGCAGUGGAGAAAAGACACAUCACACUGGAGUGGAUUCACGUCAAGUUAAAAAGGAUGAAUUGUUUCUUAAGCAUGUAAAAAAGAAAAAUGGACCUUGAAAAUAUGCUCCCUUGGUGAUGUAGCAAACACACCCGAGGAAAAAAGGGAUUUUUUUUUCCAUCAUCACAAUCAAAAUGAAUUUUAUCAACACCAACGAAUCCAUAAGGUAUCAGAAAGCUGCUUCUGCAU
This is a long non-coding RNA of Ornithorhynchus anatinus (platypus), 813 nucleotides long. RefSeq lists it as uncharacterized. The transcript has 3 exons. The record is from RefSeq and is a predicted model, not a curated record. NCBI's taxonomy places the organism in Eukaryota, Metazoa, Chordata, Mammalia, Monotremata, Ornithorhynchidae.